GACGAACGCUGGCGGCGUGCUUAACACAUGCAAGUCGAACGGAAAGGCCCUGCUUUUGUGGGGUGCUCGAGUGGCGAACGGGUGAGUAACACGUGAGUAACCUGCCCUUGACUUUGGGAUAACUUCAGGAAACUGGGGCUAAUACCGGAUAGGAGCUCCUGCUGCAUGGUGGGGGUUGGAAAGUUUCGGCGGUUGGGGAUGGACUCGCGGCUUAUCAGCUUGUUGGUGGGGUAGUGGCUUACCAAGGCUUUGACGGGUAGCCGGCCUGGGAGGGGGACCGGCCACAUUGGGACUGAGAUACGGCGCAGACGCCUACGGGAGGCAGCAGUGGGGAAUAUUGCACAAUGGGCGGAAGUCUGAUGCAGCAACGCCGCGUGCGGGAUAACGUCCUUCGGGUUGUAAACCGCUGUCGCCUGUGACGAAGCGUGCGUGACGGUAAUGGGUAAAGAAGCAACGGCUAACUACGUG
This 468-nucleotide ribosomal RNA is filed under the name uncultured bacterium. RNAcentral describes it as "partial 16S ribosomal RNA". It matches the Rfam family "Bacterial small subunit ribosomal RNA", at positions 28 to 507 of the family's 1533-position model. The record is from RNAcentral.